UGAACGCUGGCGGCGUGCUUACCACAUGCAAGUCGACCGGAACUACUCCAAUGAGAGUCUUCGGAAAGGAUUUGGUUUAGUUUAGUGGCGGACGGGUGAGUAACGCGUGGGUAACCUGCCCUAUACAGGGGGAUAACAGUUGGAAACGACUGUUAAUACCGCAUAAGCGCACAGGAGCGCAUGCUCCGGUGUGAAAAACUCCGGUGGUAUAGGAUGGACCCGCGUCUGAUUAGCUGGUUGGCGGGGUAACGGCCCACCAAGGCGACGAUCAGUAGCCGGCCUGAGAGGGUGAACGGCCACAGUGGGACUGAGACACGGCCCAAACUCCUACGGGAGGCAGCAGUGGGGAAUAUUGCACAAUGGGGGAAACCCUGAUGCAGCGACGCCGCGUGAGCGAAGAAGUAUCUCGGUAUGUAAAGCUCUAUCAGCAGGGAAGAAAAUGACGGUACCUGACGAAGAAGCCCCGGCUAACUACGUG
RNAcentral lists this ribosomal RNA (478 nucleotides) under uncultured bacterium. RNAcentral's name for it is "partial 16S ribosomal RNA". It matches the Rfam family "Bacterial small subunit ribosomal RNA", at positions 30 to 507 of the family's 1533-position model. The record is from RNAcentral.